GCAGGAUCAACCAGGUAGCACUCCUCGUUCGACACCGGCACGCAUGAGCCAUCUCCUUUGAAGAAGAAGGUCAACUCGUACGCGGAAGUCGUCCGUGCUUAGCGUAAAACGCUGAAUUGGGCAUGCGACGAAUCAACGUCCAUUCCCUCUCAACAUUCUGCAUCCCGGGGCACAACUAGAGACCGUACACCUGACCAUCAACGCCUUGUUUUAGUCGUCGAGGUUGGGGGACGGAUCCAGCUACAAUGGUCCACCGAACACCCGGAAGGAUGUCUGGCGGAAACAAAUGAUUUAGGAAAACAAUACCGUCAGUAGGAAUGAAACACAGAAAACCUUACCUCGCCCAAGGCUUAUAGCACUUGGAGCAAACACUGAAGAGGUUUAUCAGCGUGCGGUUCGAUGCACCAGCAUGGAGCCCGCCAGCCAAAAAAACCAAUCACCACUCCACACGUGA
RNAcentral lists this unclassified non-coding RNA (454 nucleotides) under Atriplex patula. RNAcentral describes it as "partial external transcribed spacer". Lineage: Eukaryota; Viridiplantae; Streptophyta; Magnoliopsida; Caryophyllales; Amaranthaceae. The record is from RNAcentral.